UACGUAUGGUGCAAGCGUUAUCCGGAUUUACUGGGUUUAAAGGGUGCGUAGGCGGGAUGCCAAGUCAGCGGUAAAAAUGCGGUGCUCAACGCCGUCGAGCCGUUGAAACUGGCGUUCUUGAGUGGGCGAGAAGUAUGCGGAAUGCGUGGUGUAGCGGUGAAAUGCAUAGAUAUCACGCAGAACUCCGAUUGCGAAGGCAGCAUACCGGCGCCCUACUGACGCUGAGGCACGAAAGCGUGGGUAUCGAACAGG
This 252-nucleotide ribosomal RNA is filed under the name uncultured bacterium. RNAcentral describes it as "partial 16S ribosomal RNA". It matches the Rfam family "Bacterial small subunit ribosomal RNA", at positions 524 to 776 of the family's 1533-position model. The record is from RNAcentral.